CUUCCGAUCAUGUGUCCCAAGUAGCGCGGGCCUCGUGGAAUCCCGUGUGAAUCGGCCCCGACCGUGGGGUAAGUCUAAGCAUACCUGUCUGACCGAUAGCGUACCAGUACCGUGAGGGAAAGGUGAAAAGCACCCCGGGAGGGGAGUGAAAGAGUUCCUGAAACCGUGCGCCUACAAUCCGUCGGAGCCUCCUUGUGGGGUGACGGCGUGCCUAUCGAAAAAUGAGUCUGCGAGUCAGUGGUGCGUGGCGAGGCUAACCCGUGGUGGGGGAGCCGUAGCGAAGGCGAGUCUCAAAAGGCGUUUUGAGUCGCGCGCCCUGGACCCGAAGCGGGAUGAUCUAGCCCUGGGCAGGUUGAAGCGCGGGUAAGACCGCGUGGAGGACCGAACCCACCUGGGUUGAAAACCGGGGGGAUGACCUGGGGCUAGGGGUGAAAGGCCAAUCAAAUUCCGUGAUAGCUGGUUCUCUCCGAAAUGCAUUUAGGUGCAGCGUCGGUUGAUUGCAUCGCGGGGGUAGAGCUACUGGAUGCUUGCGGGCCCGUGUCGGGUACCAAUAGCAGCCAAACUCCGAAUACCGUGGAUGUGUAUUCCGGCAGUGAGUCGGCGGGGGAUAAGCUCCGUCGUCGAGAGGGAGACAGCCCAGAUCGUCGUCUAAGGUCCCGAAGCGUGUGCUAAGUGGGAAAGGAUGUGGAGUCGCAUAGACAGCCAGGAGGUUGGCUCAGAAGCAGCCAUCCUUGAAAGAGUGCGUAACAGCUCACUGGUCUAGUGGUUCCGCGCCGACAAUGUAGCGGGGCUCAAGCACACCACCGAAGACGCGGCAGCGGCCUUUGCGGCCGUUGGGUAGGAGAGCGUCCCGCGUGGGGCGAAGCGGCCGGGGAACCGUGCCGUGGACCGCGCGGGAGUGAGAAUGCAGACAUGAGUAGCGAGAGACGGGUGAGGAUCCCGUCCGCUGGAUGACCAAGGGUUCCGGGGCCACGUUCGUCGUCCCCGGGUGAGUCGGGUCCUAAGGCGAGGCCGACAGGCGUAGUCGAAUGGAUGAACGGGUGGAUAUUCCCGUACCGGCGGCGUACCGUAAGAGCCGAACGGAUGAGUACUAACCUCCGGUCGCGUGGCGUCGUUCCCUUCGGGGUUCGGGGUCCGCGGUCGUUGGGAGCGUAGUCCUGGUAGGCUAGCGCACAGGGGUGACACGGAAUGGGAGCCGGCCGCGGAGGUGGUUUUCCGUGGUCAAGCACGCAGCCCGUCCCAUAGGCAAAUCCGUGGGACGCAUAGGGUGAGGUGUGAUGAUGGGCGUCCUUUGGACGCGAUAUCCGGUGGUCCAGGCCGUCGAGAAAAGCCUCGGCGCGAGGGGCGUCGCCGCCCGUACCCCAAACCGACACUGGUGGUCAGGUAGAGAAUACCAAGGCGAUCGAGCGAAUCCUGGUCAAGGAACUCGGCAAAUUGCUCCCGUGCCUUCGGUAUAAGGGAGACCCCCGGGCGUGAAGAGGCUUGCCCUCGGAGCGUUGGGGGGUGGCACAGACCAGGGGGUAGCGACUGUUUACCAAAAACACAGGUGCAUGCGAAGGCGCAAGCCGCUGUAUAUGCACUGACGCCUGCCCGGUGCCGGAAGGUUAAGAGGAUCCGUCAGCCCCUUUUGGGGUGAAGCGGUGAAUUCAAGCCCCGGUAAACGGCGGUGGUAACUAUAACCAUCCUAAGGUAGCGAAAUUCCUUGUCGGGUAAGUUCCGACCU
This 1723-nucleotide ribosomal RNA is filed under the name human gut metagenome. RNAcentral's name for it is "bacterial LSU rRNA". It matches the Rfam family "Bacterial large subunit ribosomal RNA", at positions 392 to 1989 of the family's 2925-position model. The record is from RNAcentral.